CUGUUUGACCUCCAUGCCACCAUGUAAAACAAAUUUGGGCUAAUUUUAAGAAUGUGCUCGCCGCCUGGUCGUCGGUCAUCAAGGCGGAGCUCCAUGGCAUAGGGGCGUUACAUCGGGAUCGCCUCGAUGUAACCCGACAUUUCCUGAAUCUGAAUCUUUAGCGGUUCACACAUGCGGGGUUACAUAGGGCGUCCCGUAUGUAACCCGGCCUUUCCUUGGGCGCGUCAGCCGCGUUACAUCGCCAUCGCCUCAAUGUAACCCUACCUUUACUGCAUCUGAAUCUUUAGCAGUUCACACAGGUCGGGUUACAUAGGGCGCCACGUAUGUAACCCGGCCUUUCCUUGGGCGCGGCAGCCGCAUUACAUCGUUAUCGCCGGGAUGUAACCCGAACUUUCCUAGAUCUGAAUCUUUAGCAGUUCACAGAUGCCGGGUUACAUAGGACGCGACCAAUGUAACCCGGCGUUUCCUUUCUUGCGGAGGCCGCGUUACAUCGCCACCGCCUCGAUGUAACCCUGCCUUUCAUGCAUCUGAAUCUUUAGCAGUUCACACAUGCCGGGUUACAUAGGGCGCCACGUAUGUAACCCGGCAUUUCCUUCGGCGCGGCUCUGCAAAGAGUUGGAGAAGUGUCAGCAAGAUUUGACGGCCGCACACAGUAAGUACUUGCAUUUUAUUUGCUAUGAGUCGCAUAUUUGAAGGUUCGAGUGCUCAUCAUUAUUCCUGCCGCAGACCAAACCUCUCAGGCCAACUCCCUCAAGGACGCUGCUGAACUCCAGUGUAAGAACUGGGAGAAAAAGCACGCGGACUUGGCUCAGGAGUCGGCGGCUAACACGCAUGACUCAAGUGGAAUCACUUGAAAGUGGAAAAGAUGACUUACACCUUAAAUCUUUAUUUAAUUGCCGGGGCUAGUUCUAGAAAAAAAAAUCUUACCAACUGAAGAUGCCAUAACCACAAUGAAGAAAAUGCACAAACCUGCCUUGUUUUAUUCUGAGAUCUUUUGGUAGCCGUGUCUCUAGGCAAGGAAGAGAAUUGGUAGUGUACUGUGUAUAUAUAAUAAAGAGUACUAAAGAUGAAACUGACAUUGCAAUUGCUACUUCGAACCUGCAUCUUCUUCCUCCGCUUGAAAGAAAAACCAAAAGCACACCGGAACACCAAGUAGAUGGGGGCCGUGACUUGUUAAUUUAGUUUUAAGACAGGUGAUUUGGUUAUCAGAAACUGCUAAUAUAAUGCAUCAAUGCAACACUAUCUCUACAUAAACAUGUAACAACAAUCCACGGGUCAUGACUUGAGAUUAAAAAAAAAAGGUAAUCUGAAAUUUUGCUGCCAUAACCAUGGGAAGAAAGUCUACCUCAAGAAUACUGUGUUGUAUGAGGGAGAAGUUGACAGCAGAGGACUGCGAGGUUGAGCAAUCGGAUCCGACGAAAGUGCAUUCUGCACCGAUCUGAACAGAAACGACCGGAGGGCAGAAUACAAUUGGAGCUGCCCGCUGCUGCAAGAGGAUUAGGUCCAAGGAUUGGGAGGGGGGGGGGGGGGGGGGGCGGGGGGCUACUUGUCUAGAUUGGCAACUGAGAUGAAGCAGGGGGCCAGGGCCGGAAGAGCACCGACUCUUCUGGGAGAUGCCUAUGGCGGCGAUCAGGGGCGGAGGUGUGAGUCAGGGAGAGAGACAGGGAACGGGAAGGGGUCAGGGGUUGGGAAGGUCUUCGGAAAGGGGGAGACUCAGGUCGGAA
This 1724-nucleotide long non-coding RNA is filed under the name Brachypodium distachyon (stiff brome). Its description in RNAcentral is "long non-coding RNA (BDIS_LNC000796)". Lineage: Eukaryota; Viridiplantae; Streptophyta; Magnoliopsida; Poales; Poaceae. The record is from RNAcentral.